Molecule: ribosomal RNA, 167 nt
Filed under: uncultured freshwater bacterium
Lineage: Bacteria
Description: partial 16S ribosomal RNA
Rfam family: Bacterial small subunit ribosomal RNA
Source: RNAcentral
UGGACAAUGGGCGAAAGCCUGAUCCAGCCAUGCCGCGUGUGUGAAGAAGGUCUUCGGAUUGUAAAGCACUUUAAGUUGGGAGGAAGGGCAGUAACCUAAUACGUUAUUGUUUUGACGUUACCGACAGAAUAAGCACCGGCUAACUUCGUGCCAGCAGCCGCGGUAAU